RNAcentral lists this ribosomal RNA (505 nucleotides) under uncultured bacterium. RNAcentral describes it as "partial 16S ribosomal RNA". It matches the Rfam family "Bacterial small subunit ribosomal RNA", at positions 28 to 507 of the family's 1533-position model. The record is from RNAcentral.
GACGAACGCUGGCGGCGUGCCUAAUACAUGCAAGUCGAACGCACAGUUGAUACCGUAGCUUGCUACACCAUAGACGGUGAGUUGCGAACGAGUGAGUAACGCGUAGGUAACCUGCCUGGUAUCGGUUGAUAACUAUUUAGAACGAUAGCUAAUACCUCAUAAUAUUGAUUAUUGCAUGAUAAUUGAUUGACUUAUUCUAUUGCAUCGCUACCAGAUGGAUCUACGUUGUAUUAGCUAGUAUGUGAGGUAACGGCUCACCUAGGCGAAGAUACAUCGCCGAACUGAGAGGGUGAACCGGCACAAUGGGACUGAGACAAGGCUCAGAACCCCAAGGGAGGGAGCAGUAGGGAAUCUUUGGGCAUGGAGGGAAGUCCGAACGAGGCAAGGCGCGUGAGUGAAGAAGGUUCUUGGAUUGUAAAGCCCCGUUGUAAGGGAAGAAAGGGUGUGAGAGUGGAAAGUUCACACUGUGACGGUACCUUAUCAGAAAGGGACGGCUAACUACGUG